This 447-nucleotide ribosomal RNA is filed under the name uncultured bacterium. Its description in RNAcentral is "partial 16S ribosomal RNA". It matches the Rfam family "Bacterial small subunit ribosomal RNA", at positions 29 to 523 of the family's 1533-position model. The record is from RNAcentral.
AGCGAACGCUGGCGGCAGGCUUAACACAUGCAAGUCGAGCGCCCCGCAAGGGGAGCGGCAGACGGGAGAGUAACACGUGGGAACGUACCCUUUAGUUCGGAACAACCCAGGGAAACUUGGGCUAAUACCGGAUACGUCCGUAAGGAGAAAGAUUUAUCGCGAAAGGAUCGGCCCGCGUCCGAUUAGCUAGUUGGUGAGGUAACGGCUCACCAAGGCGACGAUCAGUAGCUGAUCUGAGAGGAUGAUCAGCCUCACUGGGACUGAGACACGGCCCAGACGCCUACGGGAGGCAGCAGUGGGGAAUAUUGGACAAUGGGCGCAAGCCUGAUCCAGCCAUGCCGCGUGGGUGAUGAAGGCCCUAGGGUUGUAAAGCCCUUUCGGCGGGGAAGAUAAUGACGGUACCCGCAGAAGAAGCCCCGGCUAACUUCGUGCCAGCCGCCGCCGUAA